AACCGGGGCUGGAGGCUCUCAUACAGGGCUGCAGGAAAUGAGUGCCCAGAGCUACAGCCUCCUGUCCAUGGGAAAAUCGAGCCCUCCCAAGCCAAGUAUUUCUUCAAAGACCAAGUGCUCGUCAGCUGUGACACAGGCUACAAAGUGCUGAAGGUGCAGAGCCUUGCCUGGGAAAGGGGAGUGACCAGGCCACAGAAACUCUCCAAACCUGCCCCUCCCCAGGGCAGAUGGGCUGCCAGAACUUGUCAUAGUUCCAGCACAGAAUUUCCUAGCUGCCCAUCAACUUCUCAAAUGCUCCAGAAAUUCCAAAGCAUGUGUCCCAGGCGGUCUCACACUCUGAAAGUGGCACAAAAGUUUGUUUGUUUGUUUUAAUCAGAGCAUGAGCUGGUUUGAAUUUUUAAAAUAU
This 406-nucleotide small RNA is filed under the name Pan troglodytes (chimpanzee). Its description in RNAcentral is "retained intron". The record is from RNAcentral. Lineage: Eukaryota; Metazoa; Chordata; Mammalia; Primates; Hominidae.